This 490-nucleotide ribosomal RNA is filed under the name uncultured beta proteobacterium. RNAcentral's name for it is "bacterial SSU rRNA". Lineage: Bacteria; Pseudomonadati; Pseudomonadota; Betaproteobacteria. The record is from RNAcentral.
GAGUUUGAUCAUGGCUCAGAUUGAACGCUGGCGGCAUGCCUUACACAUGCAAGUCGAACGGCAGCAUGAUCUAGCUUGCUAGAUUGAUGGCGAGUGGCGAACGGGUGAGUAAUACAUCGGAACGUGCCCUGUAGUGGGGGAUAACUAGUCGAAAGAUUAGCUAAUACCGCAUACGACCUGAGGGUGAAAGUGGGGGACCGCAAGGCCUCAUGCUAUAGGAGCGGCCGAUGUCUGAUUAGCUAGUUGGUGGGGUAAAGGCCCACCAAGGCGACGAUCAGUAGCUGGUCUGAGAGGACGAUCAGCCACACUGGGACUGAGACACGGCCCAGACUCCUACGGGAGGCAGCAGUGGGGAAUUUUGGACAAUGGGCGAAAGCCUGAUCCAGCAAUGCCGCGUGUGUGAAGAAGGCCUUCGGGUUGUAAAGCACUUUUGUCCGGAAAGAAAUGGCUCUGGUUAAUACCUGGGGUCGAUGACGUACCGAARAUUAGG